UUCAAAGCCACAAAUUCGAGUGCGAACCGACUUGUUUAUGGCUUCCUCGAACAGCCUUGAUUCAUCUACUUCUACGGACACUGAGGACAAGGCUGCUAGCCAACUGCCGGAUUUUUUCGAAUCAAUCGCCGAACGUGUGAAAAUCAAAAAGAGAACUUGCACUGAGCCCAAAGGAGCUGCUUGAAAUGAUGAUGUGACUGAGGCUGGCGAAUGAAGUGCAACAUUCUGGCUGACAGCCCCAUCCAAUUCGCAAUCGGAACCAUCAGCAAGCGCAGCCUUUUUUUUUUUGCUAAGGAACUUGCCUAAAUUUUUAUUUAUUGUUUUUUCUUACAUAAAUCUUUGACUAAAAUUGUUAUCUGGAUGCCUACUGAUUUAAGUUAAUUGAUUUUGUAAAUCAAUUGCCAUUGCGUAACGUUUGCGAGCAAUUAUUUAUGUAUG
Drosophila guanche is the source of this 438-nucleotide long non-coding RNA. RefSeq lists it as uncharacterized. The record is from RefSeq and is a predicted model, not a curated record. The transcript has 4 exons. NCBI's taxonomy places the organism in Eukaryota, Metazoa, Arthropoda, Insecta, Diptera, Drosophilidae.